UACGAAGGGGGCUAGCGUUGUUCGGAUUCACUGGGCGUAAAGCGCACGUAGGCGGAGCGUUAAGUCAGGGGUGAAAUCCUGGAGCUCAACUCCAGAACUGCCCUUGAUACUGGCGUGCUCGAGUGUGGGAGAGGUUGGUGGAACUCCGAGUGUAGAGGUGAAAUUCGUAGAUAUUCGGAAGAACACCAGUGGCGAAGGCGGCCAACUGGCCCAUUACUGACGCUGAGGUGCGAAAGCGUGGGGAGCAAACAGG
Molecule: ribosomal RNA, 253 nt
Filed under: uncultured bacterium
Lineage: Bacteria
Description: partial 16S ribosomal RNA
Rfam family: Bacterial small subunit ribosomal RNA
Source: RNAcentral